UCUGCAUACUCCCAAGGUAUGACCUUUUGAACUAUUAUUUAGCUUCAUUUCAGCAGCUGUAUGUAGAAGUUGAAAAAAACCAAUUGUGUUAAAAAAAGUCUAAACUCUCAAAUAGCCCGCGAGCAAAACAUCACAGGCUUUGCUUCGCGUUGCCAGAUCCAUGUCAUGAGUGGUAUUUGUUUCCUUACUAGAAGUUCAGAGUUGAUUUAAAUUCUUGCCACCGGCCUUUGUGUCAGAGCUACAGUCACUGCAUUUGCCGGUGACACCACGCACUACUUGAAGUUGCUACCUUCUCUCCUUCAAGCUUGGCAUUAGUAGAUGCCUGCCUGAUCCAACAACCGAUGUUUUCUCUCUGAUGACUCUCCAAUCUGCAAAUUGAUUUUUGUCCCCUACUCAUGCUACACAUGGGUGGCACUUGGACCAUAGCCUGUCUGACAUGGAUGCACUCCCAUUUUUGUUCUGAAGAAUUUAGUAUUGGUGUUUUAUUCCAUAAAUUUCUAUUUUAAAAUUGUUGAUUCAAACUUGCUAGAUUUCCCGACGAUGCGUGGUAAAAUGUCUGCUAUCAACCAAAUUUGGAAAUCUUCAGAAGGUGAGGAUGUUUGUCUCUUCUGUAGCAUUUAGAAUAUUUGUUAGCUAGCUGUAGGUAUUUUUACAUGCUUCACCCAGUUAUUUUUCGGUAAUGAUUGCCAUGUUAAUUCGCUCUAUCUAAUUCUGUCAACUAGAUCAUGCACGGGUUCAAACAGGUUUAUGAAAUGGCUAUUAUUUUACUGAUAGCAACUCAGUAACUCGAGUAUAGCACCUACUGCAGUACUGCUAUGUUAUAGGCUUAUAUCAGAUAUAAGGACAAGCUGUUUUAUUUCAGGUGGUGACCCCCCUUUCCCCAACAAUUUCUGAUUGCAGUUUGUUUUUCGUUUGUCUCAUAUGACAUUCAUGUAAUAUUUCCGACAACACUUAGAAUAAAUUUAAGAGGGGGAACAAACUUUAUACACUAAGCAAUUUCGAUCAUCUAAGGGCUUGGCGCCUUUUGUUCAAGUUCGCGAGCUACUGC
Molecule: long non-coding RNA, 1048 nt
Filed under: Triticum aestivum (bread wheat)
Lineage: Eukaryota; Viridiplantae; Streptophyta; Magnoliopsida; Poales; Poaceae
Description: long non-coding RNA (TAES_LNC027625)
Source: RNAcentral